This is a non-coding RNA of Clostridium sp. CAG:127, 165 nucleotides long. NCBI's taxonomy places the organism in Bacteria, Bacillati, Bacillota, Clostridia, Eubacteriales, Clostridiaceae. The record is from Rfam.
UAUGUUUGAAACUUAGAAGUACUUAAUGUUCUGUAAUAAAUCAGCAAUGUUUGAACACGAUGUUCAAACAAGCCGCCACUGAGCCACGGAUGGCGAAUUGGCGGCGAUUGCGUACGAUAGAAGUUAUGUAAAUCAGAACAUUUAGAACUUCUUGUUUCAAUACAU